This 372-nucleotide small RNA is filed under the name Pongo abelii (Sumatran orangutan). RNAcentral describes it as "processed transcript". Lineage: Eukaryota; Metazoa; Chordata; Mammalia; Primates; Hominidae. The record is from RNAcentral.
CUUGUGUUAGGCUCCCAGUUGAAUCUCAAAGCAGAGAAACACUCAGGGAGAUGGAACAGGUAUGAGAAGCUGUGACCAAGCUUCUCCCCUCUGAUUUGAGGCACUGUCUGCCUUCAUCUACUCUUAGUUUACAGACUCUACUGAUUCCAGUCCUUGUAAUCAGUUGUGUCCUUUCUUUGCACAGUAUUUUUGCUUUAGGGCCCUAAAAGACAAUGUGACCCACGCCCAUCUCCAGCAAAUAAGAAGGAAUCUUGCUCACCAGCAGCAUGGUGUCACGCUGCUGCACAGGUUCUGGAACCUCUGGUGGUCUCAGAUUGAGCAGAAAAAGGAAAGAGAGCAGCUCCCCUUACUGCAUGCUGCCUGGGACCACUA